CGGGGGUCCGCGACCCGAGCCCUGCCCCCUGGCCCACCCACGGGGGCCACUGCCAACCGGCUCCGCAGUGCCGCCGAGCCCGUGGCUUCCACGCCAGCCUCCCGCAUCCAGCCGGCUGGCAAUACUUCUCCCAGAGCGAUCUCGCGGGUCGACCGGGAGAGGAAGGUGAGUAUGAGGCUGCACAGGGGUGCGCCCGCCAACGUCUCCUCCUCAGACCUCACUGGGCGGCAAGAGGUCUCCCGGAUCCCAGCCUCACAGACAAGUGUGCCAUUUGACCAUCUCGGGAAGUGAGGAGAGCCCCCAUUGGACCAGUGUUUGCUUAGGUGAGUCCAUGACUGCUGCAGAUGCAGCCAGCCCAGCCGACCUAGAAGCUCCCAGGGCCCCAGAAAGAGACCAAUGUGUUGUGGAGGGGUGGGUGGCAGUGGCAGUGGCAGAUGGUACCAGGCGCCCCAGAACUCUAAGGGGCCUCAAGUAGUUUAAAACCUCGGAGGCUGCCUGACUUGGGGCCAAGGGUUUCUAUGCUCAGGCCUGACCCCUCAUGGAUUAGUUUCUGCUGGAAAAACUUUUUCUGCCCUCGGCCAGGUCUCUAUCUCCUUCUGCCUUAACAUAUUUUGGAAGGUUGGUUCCCAGCAGAGACGGGGCCAUGGGCUCACACUCUGACCUCUCCCA
This 669-nucleotide long non-coding RNA is filed under the name Homo sapiens (human). Its description in RNAcentral is "non-protein coding lnc-CSNK1E-1:13". The record is from RNAcentral. Lineage: Eukaryota; Metazoa; Chordata; Mammalia; Primates; Hominidae.